CGCCCACGUGGCCGGCGGGAGCCUGUGGCCUGUGAUUGGUCAGGAAAGGGGGCGUAGUGUGAGGGGGAGGUCCCCGGCCUAGCCGAGGUACUCCAGUUCAACCUUCCGAGUCCGCUAACCUGGUGGCUGUCUCAGGGUGCAUCCCUCUGGGACCAGGUUGUGUGUAAGCAAUAUGGAGGCUGACCUGUCUGGCUUUAACAUUGAUGCGCCCCGCUGGGAUCAGAGCACGUUCCUGGGGCGUGUGAAGCACUUUUUUAACAUCACGGAUCCUCGCACUGUCUUUGCAUCAGAGCAGGAGCUGGACUGGGCCAAGGUGAUGGUGGAGAAGAGCAGGAUGGGCCUUGUGCCCCCUGGCACUCAGGUGGAGCAGCUGCUGUACGCUAAGAAGCUUUAUGACUCGGCUUUCCACCCUGACACUGGGGAGAAGAUGAACGUCAUUGGGCGGAUGUCCUUCCAGGUCCCUGGUGGCAUGAUCAUCACAGGCUUCAUGCUGCAGUUCUACAGGACAAUGCCUGCGGUAAUCUUCUGGCAGUGGGUGAACCAAUCCUUCAAUGCCUUAGUCAACUACACCAACAGGAACGCGGCUUCCCCCACAUCAGUCAGGCAGAUGGCCGUCUCCUACCUCACAGCUACUAGCACUGCGGUGGCCACGGCAGUGGGCAUGAAUAUGUGGACAAAGAGAGCUCCGCCCUUGGUGGCCCGAUGGGUGCCCUUUGCCGCCGUGGCUGCAGCUAACUGUGUCAAUAUCCCGAUGAUGCGACAGCAGGAACUCAUCCAGGGCAUCUGUGUGAAGGACAAGGACCAAAAUGAUCUUGGCUGUUCUCAGAGAGCUGCAGCUGUGGGCAUCACCCAAGUGGUUAUUUCUCGGAUCACUAUGGCAGCCCCUGGCAUGAUCAUAUUACCAGUCAUCAUGGAGCAGCUGGAGAGACUGCGUCUGAUGAAGAAAGUCAGAGUGCUGCAUGCCCCUCUGCAGGUCCUUCUGUGUGGCUGCUUCCUCCUCUUCAUGGUGCCAGUGGCAUGUGGGCUCUUCCCUCAGGAAUGCAAAUUACCAGUUUCCUAUUUAGAACCAGAGCUGCAGGACACCAUCAAGGCCAAAUAUGGAGAAGACGUCCUCUUUGCCUACUUUAAUAAGGGUCUCUAAGUGCUCCGUGCCUGCAAGGAUUGAUCCAUUCCCCGUAAAGACCAGUUUUUCGCUGGCAGUUAUGCAUACCUGUGUCCACAUUCCUCUUUGCAACAAGCAUCCACAGAGGACAGAAGAGAGUGUCAGAUCCUCUGGGACUUUCCGCUGUGAGCCAUCACGUGGGUGCUCUGAAAGAGCAGCGACUGCUCUUACCUGCUGAGCCAUCUCUACAGCUCCUAUUCAGGAACAGAAGAGGGAACAGUCAGUAUCCCCUUGGGGACAUGUCACCCUUCCUAUUGUGCCCUGACUGGGACAACUCCUUGUGAGUGCUGCUAGACAUGAGUGUUUCUGUCAAUGAGAGUUAUUUGUUCUAGAAAAAGGACAAGAAACUGGACAAAUAGUUCCUUUCCACAGCUCAGUAGGUCAAAUACCAGAGGCUGGCGUGUGCUCAUAGGAAAGGGACGCUGUACUUGGCCACCUAAGCACAAUUCAACAAGGACCACAUAGCCUUAAACGUGUCCAGACAAAUGCCAUUCCACCAAAGUUAUGUGGGUCAUCAAGUUCUAGCCCUUUGCCAAUGACUUUGUUCUGUCUUAAAAUACUGUCUAGAUCCAUUUCUGGGACUCUUUUUCUGAGAGGAGGGUCUACUCUUAUUGCCUUCCCUGUUUCACAAGUGACCUCACUGAGUGAAGGCACCUGCCACACAUUUUAAUAGGAAUGAUUUCCUGGUGGCCUCCCUUCCUGAGCCCAUUAGGUUAAAUACUAAAGAAAGACUGGUGAGCACUGAUAGGUCAGGGGAGCUGGGCUUGGACACCUGAGAAGACAGCAACGAGGACCAAAGAGCCUAAAGAGAAUGAGCAGCAAAGCGCCCUUUAGUUCCUGUCUUGUUCCUUGAGCCCCCCUGGGGACUGUAGCUUACCUGGGGUUAGUGUGCAUAUGAGUUUUUUGUGGUAAAGUUUGCUGACUCUGUUCAAACACUGUCAUUAUGAAUUGAAUAAACGAUUUGAAAGAACAUGAAA
This is a non-coding RNA of Cricetulus griseus (Chinese hamster), 2139 nucleotides long. The record is from RefSeq and is a predicted model, not a curated record. Lineage: Eukaryota; Metazoa; Chordata; Mammalia; Rodentia; Cricetidae.